This 486-nucleotide ribosomal RNA is filed under the name uncultured bacterium. RNAcentral describes it as "bacterial SSU rRNA". It matches the Rfam family "Bacterial small subunit ribosomal RNA", at positions 30 to 507 of the family's 1533-position model. The record is from RNAcentral.
AAUUGAACGCUGGCGGCAUGCCUUCCUUUUGCAAGUCGAACGGCAGCACGGGUGCUUGCACCUGGUGGCGAGUGGCGAAGGGGUGAGUAAUACAUCGGAACGUACCUUAUCGGGGGGGAUAACGCAGCGAAAGUUGCGCUAAUACCGCAUACGCCCUGAGGGGGAAAGCGGGGGACCGUAAGGCCUCGCGCGAUUAGAGCGGCCGAUGUCUGAUUAGCUUGUUGGUGAGGUAAAAGCUCACCAAGGCGAUGAUCAGUAGCUGGUCUGAGAGGACAAUCAGCCACACUGGGACUGAGACACGGCCCAAACUCCUACGGGAGGCAGCAGUGGGGAAUUUUGGACAAUGGGGGCAACCCUGAUCCAGCAAUGCCGCGUGAGUGAAGAAGGCCUUCGGGUUGUAAAGCUCUUUUGUCAGGGAAGAAACAGCAGCUCUAACACAGUCUGCGAAUGACGGUACCUGAAGAAUAAGCACCGGCUAACUACGUG